This 253-nucleotide ribosomal RNA is filed under the name uncultured bacterium. RNAcentral describes it as "partial 16S ribosomal RNA". It matches the Rfam family "Bacterial small subunit ribosomal RNA", at positions 524 to 776 of the family's 1533-position model. The record is from RNAcentral.
UACGUAGGGAGCAAGCGUUGUCCGGAAUCAUUGGGCGUAAAGCGCGCGUAGGUGGCCUCAUAAGUCCGCUGUGAAAGUCAAAGGCUCAACCUUUGAAAGCCGGUGGAUACUGUGGGGCUAGAGUACGGAAGAGGCGAGUGGAAUUCCUGGUGUAGCGGUGGAAUGCGCAGAUAUCAGGAGGAACACCAAUGGCGAAGGCAGCUCGCUGGGACGUGACUGACGCUGAGACGCGAAAGCGUGGGGAGCAAACAGG